RNAcentral lists this ribosomal RNA (543 nucleotides) under Triticum aestivum (bread wheat). RNAcentral describes it as "partial small subunit ribosomal RNA". The record is from RNAcentral. Lineage: Eukaryota; Viridiplantae; Streptophyta; Magnoliopsida; Poales; Poaceae.
UGCAUGGAAGAUGAGGAUAACAACGCACAAUGUCCGAAAUGUUCAUUUACCUUCUGCGGUUCUUGCAAGGAAGUACGGCAUCCAGGGAAGCAGUGUCUAACUCCAAAACAAAAGCUCCAGCGCCGGAAGGCGUCAGGCAAGUUGAAUGAAAGGGGGAUGUCACAGGAAAUGCUGAACAUCAGAGAACUGUACAAAGAUGUUCGGGUAUGUCCAAAUUGUCGAAUGGCCAUCAACAAAAGUGCAAGCUGCAAUAAAGUGAUGUGCACUAGUUGUGGUCAGCUAUUUUUCUUUCGUUGCUGCAAGACAAUCAAUGGCUAUGAUCACUUCAAGAACUGUCGGCUCUUCGAGGCUACAGAUAUGACCGACUGGGACAAGCAAAUGAUUGAACUACAGAAUGGAAUUCAGAUGCGAGCUCAAAAACAACCAUUGGGCGGCACCAUAAGAUGCCCCAAAUGUCGCGAAACAAAUUUCAAGGAUGAUGAGAAGUAUGUCUUCUGUUGGGCGUGCCGAACCAGCUACUGCACACUAUGCAAACGGAUAAUC